Long non-coding RNA from Glycine soja, 760 nucleotides. RefSeq lists it as uncharacterized. The record is from RefSeq and is a predicted model, not a curated record. NCBI's taxonomy places the organism in Eukaryota, Viridiplantae, Streptophyta, Magnoliopsida, Fabales, Fabaceae. The transcript has 2 exons.
UUUAAUGACCAUCGUGCCGACCCACCACCUGCUCCUCCCUCAACAAAAACAUCGCGAAUCUGGAUGUCGGUUGAAUGAGUAACAGAUCUGGAUUUCGUCCGCAUGUACGAUAGAUUUGGAUCCCGAUUAUGAGAGCAGCGGAUCUGGAAUCCAAUGGCAUACACGGCAGAUCUGGAUGCCACCGAGGUUCCUCGACCCCCAAACGAAAUAUCUCUGGAUGGCAAUUUCUAAUUUUUUCUUCUUUCUGGUUGUUGGUUUGAGAGGAGAUAGUUAAGAGAAAGAAGAAGAAGAAUAAGGAAACAGAAAAAGAUAGGAAAAGAAAACUGAGAGAGAAGAAGGGAGAGUCGCUGCCGCCGGAAGUCAUCUCCGGCAACGGUGAGCGGUGGCACAUCGAAAAACAGAGGUGGUUACCGUUUGUAAUUGGCCGGAUUGGAGGAAAGAGAAAGAAGAAAAAAGUAUGGUGCAACAGGUCCACCAUAUAAGUGUGUACAUGAGAUGUAUCUCAUGGUGAAAAAAAAUGGUUCUCGGUAAACCAUUUGAAACACUUCACCACGGUAGAAGCCGUCCUGAUUUGGGCUUACAUUUCAGGAUUGAAUGGAGAUAAUUUUAAAACCAAAAUUAUUUAUGAAGGAUAUGGUCAAGUCUAUCGUUUUUCAGUUUUUUUUUUUUGUUCUUAUUUUUGCUUUAUGAAGAGUUUUAUAAAGUGGAAGAAAGUAUACUUUAGGUUGAUUGACAUAUAAAAUUUUGAUUCAGGUAUAUA